UACGUAGGGGGCGAGCGUUGUCCGGAAUCAUUGGGCGUAAAGCGCUUGUAGGCGGUUCAGUAAGUCUGCUGUGAAAGUCCAGGGCUCAACCCUGGGAUGCCGGUGGAUACUGCUGAACUAGAGUGCGGAAGAGGCGAGUGGAAUUCCCGGUGUAGCGGUGAAAUGCGCAGAUAUCGGGAGGAACACCAAUUGCGAAGGCAGCUCGCUGGGACGUUACUGACGCUGAGACGCGAAAGCGUGGGGAGCAAACAGG
Molecule: ribosomal RNA, 253 nt
Filed under: uncultured bacterium
Lineage: Bacteria
Description: partial 16S ribosomal RNA
Rfam family: Bacterial small subunit ribosomal RNA
Source: RNAcentral